GAUGAACGCUGGCGGCGUGCCUAAUACAUGCAAGUCGAGCGAACGGACGAGAAGCUUGCUUCUCUGAUGUUAGCGGCUGACGGGUGAGUAACACGUGGAUAACCUACCUAUAAGACUGGGAUAACUUCGGGAAACCGGAGCUAAUACCGGAUAAUAUUUUGAACCGCAUGGUUCAAAAGUUAAAGACGGUCUUGCUGUCACUUAUAGAUGGAUCCGCGCUGCAUUAGCUAGUUGGUAAGGUAACGGCUUACCAAGGCAACGAUGCGUAGCCGACCUGAGAGGGUGAUCGGCCACACUGGAACUGAGACACGGUCCAGACUCCUACGGGAGGCAGCAGUAGGGAAUAUUCCGCAAUGGGCGAAAGCCUGACGGAGCAACGCCGCGUGAGUGAUGAAGGUCUUCGGAUCGUAAAACUCUGUUAUUAGGGAAGAACAUAUGUGUAAGUAACUGUGCACAUCUUGACGGUACCUAAUCAGAAAGCCACGGCUAACUACGUG
This 497-nucleotide ribosomal RNA is filed under the name uncultured bacterium. RNAcentral describes it as "partial 16S ribosomal RNA". It matches the Rfam family "Bacterial small subunit ribosomal RNA", at positions 28 to 507 of the family's 1533-position model. The record is from RNAcentral.